This 29-nucleotide non-coding RNA is filed under the name Rattus norvegicus (Norway rat). Lineage: Eukaryota; Metazoa; Chordata; Mammalia; Rodentia; Muridae. The record is from RNAcentral.
UCUUUGGCUGUUUAACUGCCGGGUGCUAG